This 484-nucleotide ribosomal RNA is filed under the name uncultured bacterium. Its description in RNAcentral is "partial 16S ribosomal RNA". It matches the Rfam family "Bacterial small subunit ribosomal RNA", at positions 30 to 507 of the family's 1533-position model. The record is from RNAcentral.
AUUGAACGCUGGCGGCAGGCCUAACACAUGCAAGUCGAGCGGAUGAAGGGAGCUUGCUCCUGGAUUCAGCGGCGGACGGGUGAGUAAUGCCUAGGAAUCUGCCUGGUAGUGGGGGAUAACGUCCGGAAACGGGCGCGAAUACCGCAUACGUCCUGAGGGAGAAAGUGGGGGAGCUUCGGACCUCACGCUAUCAGAUGAGCCUAGGUCGGAUUAGCUAGUUGGUGGGGUAAAGGCCUACCAAGGCGACGAUCCGUAGCUGGUCUGAGAGGAUGAUCAGUCGCACUGGAACUGAGACACGGUCCAGACUCCUACGGGAGGCAGCAGUGGGGAAUAUUGGACAAUGGGCGAAAGCCUGAUCCAGCCAUGCCGCGUGUGUGAAGAAGGUCUUCGGAUUGUAAAGCACUUUAAGUUGGGAGGAAGGGCAGUAAGUUAAUACCUUGCUGUUUUGACGUUACCAACAGAAUAAGCACCGGCUAACUUCGUG